UACAGAGGGGGCAAGCGUUGUUCGGAAUUACUGGGCGUAAAGGGCGCGUAGGCGGCCUGCUAAGUCGAACGUGAAAUCCCUGGGCUCAACCCAGGAACUGCGUCCGAUACUGGUUGGCUUGAGUAUGGAAGAGGGUCUCGGAAUUCCCGGUGUAGAGGUGAAAUGCGUAGAUAUCUGGAGGAACACCGGUGGCGAAGGCGGCAUCCUGGACCGACACUGACACUGAGGAGCGAAAGCCAGGGGAGCAAACGGG
This 253-nucleotide ribosomal RNA is filed under the name uncultured bacterium. RNAcentral describes it as "partial 16S ribosomal RNA". It matches the Rfam family "Bacterial small subunit ribosomal RNA", at positions 524 to 776 of the family's 1533-position model. The record is from RNAcentral.